RNAcentral lists this ribosomal RNA (447 nucleotides) under uncultured bacterium. RNAcentral describes it as "partial 16S ribosomal RNA". It matches the Rfam family "Bacterial small subunit ribosomal RNA", at positions 29 to 523 of the family's 1533-position model. The record is from RNAcentral.
AACGAACGCUGGCGGCAGGCUUAACACAUGCAAGUCGAACGCUCCGCAAGGAGAGUGGCAGACGGGUGAGUAACACGUGGGAACGUACCCUUUACUACGGAACAACUCCGGGAAACUGGAGCUAAUACCGUAUGUGCCCUUUGGGGGAAAGAUUUAUCGGUAAAGGAUCGGCCCGCGUUGGAUUAGCUAGUUGGUGGGGUAAAGGCCUACCAAGGCGACGAUCCAUAGCUGGUCUGAGAGGAUGAUCAGCCACAUUGGGACUGAGACACGGCCCAAACUCCUACGGGAGGCAGCAGUGGGGAAUAUCGGACAAUGGGCGCAAGCUUGAUCCAGCCGUGCCGCGUGUGUGAUGAAGGCCUUAGGGUUGUAAAGCACUUUCACCGGAGAAGAUAAUGACGGUAUCCGGAGAAGAAGCCCCGGCUAACUUCGUGCCAGCAGCCGCGGUAA